AGCAGCCGCGGUAAUUCCAGCUCCAAUAGCGUAUAUUAAAGUUGUUGCAGUUAAAAAGCUCGUAGUUGAAUUUCGAGAUCAGUACGCUGGUCGUGCCUUCGGUAUGUACUGGUGUCACUGGUUUCUCCCUUCUGAAGAACCGUUAUGUCAUUAAGUUGGUGUGGCGGGGAAUCAGGACUGUUACUUUGAAAAAUUAGAGUGUUUAAAGCAGGCUCGCGCUUGAAUACAUUAGCAUGGAAUAAUGAAAUAGGACGUUUGACCCUAUUUUGUUGGUUUCUAGGAUCGACGUAAUGAUUAAUAGGGAUAGUUGGGGGCAUUAGUAUUCAAUUGUCAGAGGUGAAAUUCUUGGAUUUAUUGAAGACUAACUACUGCGAAAGCAUUUGCCAAGGAUGUUUUCAUUAAUCAAGAACGAAAGUUAGGGGAUCGAAGACGACCAGAUACCGUCGUAGUCUUAACCAUAAACUAUGCCGACUAGGGAUCGGAUGAUGUUAAUUUUUAAUGUACUCA
This 507-nucleotide ribosomal RNA is filed under the name uncultured Glomeraceae. RNAcentral describes it as "SSU rRNA". It matches the Rfam family "Eukaryotic small subunit ribosomal RNA", at positions 569 to 1078 of the family's 1831-position model. Lineage: Eukaryota; Fungi; Glomeromycota; Glomeromycetes; Glomerales; Glomeraceae. The record is from RNAcentral.